This 498-nucleotide ribosomal RNA is filed under the name uncultured bacterium. RNAcentral's name for it is "partial 16S ribosomal RNA". It matches the Rfam family "Bacterial small subunit ribosomal RNA", at positions 28 to 507 of the family's 1533-position model. The record is from RNAcentral.
GACGAACGCUGGCGGCGUGCCUAAUACAUGCAAGUCGAGCGGACGGGUGGGAGCUUGCUCCCAGACCGUCAGCGGCGGCCGGGUGAGUAACACGUGGGCAACCUGCCUGUAAGACUGGGAUAACUCCGGGAAACCGGGGCUAAUACCGGAUAACUCUUUCCCUCACAUGAGGGAAAGCUGAAAGAUGGCAUCUCGCUAUCACUUACAGAUGGGCCCGCGGCGCAUUAGCUAGUUGGUGAGGUAACGGCUCACCAAGGCGACGAUGCGUAGCCGACCUGAGAGGGUGAUCGGCCACACUGGGACUGAGACACGGCCCAGACUCCUACGGGAGGCAGCAGUAGGGAAUCUUCCGCAAUGGACGAAAGUCUGACGGAGCAACGCCGCGUGAGUGAUGAAGGUUUUCGGAUCGUAAAACUCUGUUGUCAGGGAAGAACAAGUACCGGAGUAACUGCCGGUACCUUGACGGUACCUGACCAGAAAGCCACGGCUAACUACGUG